Molecule: non-coding RNA, 1145 nt
Organism: Bemisia tabaci
Lineage: Eukaryota; Metazoa; Arthropoda; Insecta; Hemiptera; Aleyrodidae
Source: RefSeq, a predicted model, not a curated record
UUAUCAAUUGAAUCGUUUCAUAACUCCCCGCUUUGAGAAUCAAAAAAGUUCAAACGUUCAAUCUCUUUAAUCUCUGAGCAGCGUCCUUCAAACUCGGAUCAUUCUCCCUAAGUCCUCUACAUUACCCAAGUACGUGUAGUCCUUCCAUGUCACCGAACUGACUUUAUGUGUUGUGCUCCUGUGAAAAUGCUUCAUUUAUUCAAAGAAGAAUCUCAACUUUCAGUUCAUCGUCGUAUUCCACUCUUUGGAGCCGAGCUGGAUCAAAACAUCAGAUGCGACAACUGCAGGGUUCUCAGAAAGGGCCUGUUUUCACGCUGUAAUCUCCAGUCCUGGACACUGUCGACGGAAGAGCUCAAAAAGGGUAGAGAGGAAGACUUUAGGUUGUGAAACGCUGAGCCGCUUCCAGGAGGAGACGAUGAAGGAUGCGCAGGCCCUCUCGAUUCAAGUGAAGCAAGUCUACUCGGCGAUUCUGAUGACCUCUUUUAGGAAAAUAAAACUUUUCGUAAAAUCGGCGAUCAGGCUCCCAAGAGUCUUGACGCAUGAGGGGAGAGAAGCUGUCAACCACAAGGACACGAUCACGCAAUGAUUCUCUGGAGCUCGACAACCAUUGAUUGACCACAUCAAUCUUGCGAUUGACAUGCGCAGGAAAGAGAGGAAUAGAAGGGGUUCGGCCGACGAAGCGAAAGUGUCUUUCGGCAUAAAGAAGGAGGGCCUUCAAGGCCUUUUUAAGGGAUGGGACAUCAACUUCCGCCUUGAUGUCGUUAGUCCCUGCUAGAAUGAUAAGAAUAUCCCUGUCUUUGUCGAAGCCUUCAUUUCUUGAAAGGUGCUUAAGAAUCUGGGUUUUUAGGAUCGAUCGGAGCCGCAGAUCAUGGUUUGCCGGAGGAAGGCAACAACUAGAAAGUCCCGUGCGGUCCCCGCACCAAUCCGCGAAGCAGAUGGGGGGGGGCGAAGCCCCCCAAAUGCCGGCGCUUUUUUUUAACAUCGGACUCAAGGGCUCCAGGAAAACCCGAAAUUCGCAAAUCAACCACAUAGUGGCACAGGCAUUGCAAUUCCCUCCCUGUACAGCCACUCUUUUCGAGAAACAAAUUAUUCUCGCUCCAUAAACUUUGUUAAAUCAAUAGACCAUGUGGAAACCUUUGGACAGA